GCGAUUAUACUAGCAAUAAUACACCGGAUCUCAUUAGAACUCCGCAGUUAAGUGUAUUUGGGCAAAAAUAAUAUUAGGAUAGGUGACUCCUUGAAAAAUCCUCGUGUUGCAUCCC
Molecule: non-coding RNA, 115 nt
Organism: Ilex paraguariensis (yerba mate)
Lineage: Eukaryota; Viridiplantae; Streptophyta; Magnoliopsida; Aquifoliales; Aquifoliaceae
Source: the annotation of a GenBank genome assembly